UACGAAGGGGGGCUAGCGUUGUUCGGAAUUACUGGGCGUAAAGCGCACGUAGGCGGACUACUAAGUCAGGGGUGAAAUCCCGGGGCUCAACCCCGGAACUGCCUUUGAUACUGAUAGUCUCGAGUCCGGAAGAGGUGAGUGGAAUUCCGAGUGUAGAGGUGAAAUUCGUAGAUAUUCGGAGGAACACCAGUGGCGAAGGCGGCUCACUGGUCCGGUACUGACGCUGAGGUGCGAAAGCGUGGGGAGCAAACAGG
Molecule: ribosomal RNA, 254 nt
Filed under: uncultured bacterium
Lineage: Bacteria
Description: partial 16S ribosomal RNA
Rfam family: Bacterial small subunit ribosomal RNA
Source: RNAcentral